This 460-nucleotide ribosomal RNA is filed under the name uncultured bacterium. RNAcentral describes it as "partial 16S ribosomal RNA". It matches the Rfam family "Bacterial small subunit ribosomal RNA", at positions 338 to 795 of the family's 1533-position model. The record is from RNAcentral.
CCUACGGGUGGCAGCAGUGAGGAAUAUUGGUCAAUGGACGCAAGUCUGAACCAGCCAAGCCGCGUGCAGGAAGACGGCUCUAUGAGUUGUAAACUGCUUUUGUACGAGAGUAAACGCAGAUACGCGUACCUGUCUGAAUGUACCGUACGAAUAAGGAUCGGCUAACUCCGUGCCAGCAGCCGCGGUAAUACGGAGGAUUCAAGCGUUAUCCGGAUUUAUUGGGUUUAAAGGGGGCGUAGGCGGUCGGAUAAGUUAGCGGUGAAAUCCCGAGGCUCAACGUCGGAAUUGCCGCUGAUACUGUUCGGCUAGAGUGUGGUUGCGGUAGGCGGAAUGUAUGGUGUAGCGGUGAAAUGCAUAGAGAUCAUACAGAACACCGAUUGCGAAGGCAGCUUACCAAGCCACUACUGACGUUGAGGCACGAAAGCGUGGGUAGCAAACAGGAUUAGAUACCCCUGUAGUC